Molecule: ribosomal RNA, 447 nt
Filed under: Triticum aestivum (bread wheat)
Lineage: Eukaryota; Viridiplantae; Streptophyta; Magnoliopsida; Poales; Poaceae
Description: partial small subunit ribosomal RNA
Source: RNAcentral
AUGGCAAUAAUGGCCGACGAGUGCAUGGAGCACGCCCUGACCUUCGCCAUCGACAGCAGCACGGCGGCCCAGCACUGGCUCGUCCCGCUUCCAUCCCAGCACCAGGACGCGGCAACAUUGCAGCAGCAGCAGCAGCUUGGAUCCGUCGGAUACGACGCCGACGCGGCAGAGGAGCUCGGCCGAUCGGUCCUGCUCGUCGCGGAGGCCCUCUUCCUCCGCGGCGUCCUCGGCGACGACGAUCUCCUACGGGUCCUGUCGGCCAUGCCCAAUCCCGGCGACGCCUACCGCGACGGCGGUUUCGGAGGAGUCCCUGCGUCAGCAUCGGCGGUGGCCGGCCUGGAGAAGCGUGUUUAUUGUCGCGGGGGAGGCCAGGGCGGUCCUAGCACGACGGACACGGGCUGCGUCAUCUGCUUGGAGGACUUCGUGGCAGGUGACGAGAUCGCGUGA